Molecule: transfer RNA, 73 nt
Filed under: Bacteroidota bacterium
Lineage: Bacteria; Pseudomonadati; Bacteroidota
Also listed under: 1 other name
Description: Bacteroidetes bacterium (activated sludge metagenome) tRNA-Trp
Rfam family: tRNA
About the family: Transfer RNA (tRNA) molecules are approximately 80 nucleotides in length. Their secondary structure includes four short double-helical elements and three loops (D, anti-codon, and T loops). Further hydrogen bonds mediate the characteristic L-shaped molecular structure. tRNAs have two regions of fundamental functional importance: the anti-codon, which is responsible for specific mRNA codon recognition, and the 3' end, to which the tRNAs corresponding amino acid is attached (by aminoacyl-tRNA synthetases). tRNAs cope with the degeneracy of the genetic code in two manners: having more than one tRNA (with a specific anti-codon) for a particular amino acid; and 'wobble' base-pairing, i.e. permitting non-standard base-pairing at the 3rd anti-codon position.
Source: RNAcentral
ACGGGUGUAGCUCAGCUGGUAGAGCGGCGGUCUCCAAAACCGUAGGUCGAGGGUUCGAAUCCUUCCGCCCGUG